This 367-nucleotide ribosomal RNA is filed under the name uncultured bacterium. RNAcentral describes it as "bacterial SSU rRNA". It matches the Rfam family "Bacterial small subunit ribosomal RNA", at positions 29 to 422 of the family's 1533-position model. The record is from RNAcentral.
AACGAACGCUGGCGGCAGGCCUAACACAUGCAAGUCGAACGCGCGUAGCAAUACGCGAGUGGCGCACGGGUGAGUAACACGUGGGAACCAACCCAGAGGUUCGGAAUAACCGCGGGAAACUGCGGCUAAUACCGGAUGUCCCCCAUGGGGAAGGAUUAUCGCCUCUGGACGGGCCCGCGUCCGAUUAGCUAGUUGGUGAGGUAACGGCUCACCAAGGCUACGAUCGGUAGCUGGUCUGAGAGGAUGACCAGCCACACUGGAACUGAGAUACGGUCCAGACUCCUACGGGAGGCAGCAGUGGGGAAGUAUUGGGCAAUGGAGGCAACUCUGACCCAGCCAUGCCGCGUGGGUGACGAAGGUCUUCGGA